Molecule: long non-coding RNA, 1703 nt
Organism: Bufo bufo (common toad)
Lineage: Eukaryota; Metazoa; Chordata; Amphibia; Anura; Bufonidae
Exons: 3
Source: RefSeq, a predicted model, not a curated record
AUCCCUCUGGUGGUCAGGAGUAGGUAUAACAGCAGUACAGCUCUGGGGGUGCAGUGUUGAGGUGCUGGUGCUCCCUCUGCUGGUCUGCAGUAGGUAUAACAGCAGUACAGCUCUGGGGGUGCAGUGUGGAGGUGCUGGUGCUCCCUCUGCUGGUCUGCAGUAGGUAUAACAGCAGUACAGCUCUGGGGGUGCAGUGUGGAGGUGCUGGUGCUCCCUCUGCUGGUCAGGAGUAGGUAUAACAGCAGGUACAGCUCUGGGGGUGCAGUGUGGAGGUGCCGGUGCUCCCCCUGCUGGUCUGCAGUAGGUAUAACAGCAGGUACAGCUCUGAGGGUACAGUGUGGAGGUGCUGGUGCUCCCCCUGCUGGUGUGGAGUAGGUAUAACAGCAGGUACAGCUCUGAGGGUACAGUGUGGAGGUGCUGGUGCUCCCUCUGCUGGUCUGCAGUAGGUAUAACAGCAGUACAGCUCUGGGGGUGCAGUGUGGGGUGCUGGUGCUCCCUCUGCUGGUCAGGAGUAGGUAUAACAGCAGGUAGAGCUCUGGGGGUGCAGUGUGGAGGUGCUGGUGCUCCCCCUGCUGGUCUGCAGUAGGUAUAACAGCAGUACAGCUCUGGGGGUACAGUGUGGAGGUGCUGGUGCUCCCCCUGCUGGUCUGCAGUAGGUAUAACAGCAGUACAGCUCUGGGGGUGCAGUGUGGAGGUGCUGGUGCUCCCCCUGCUGGUGUGGAGUAGGUAUAACAGCAGGUACAGCUCUGAGGGUACAGUGUGGAGGUGCUGGUGCUCCCUCUGCUGGUCUGCAGUAGGUAUAACAGCAGUACAGCUCUGGGGGUGCAGUGUGGAGGUGCUGGUGCUCCCUCUGCUGGUCUGCAGUAGGUAUAGCAGCAGUACAGCUCUGGGGGUGCAGUGUGGAGGUGCUGGUGCUCCCUCUGCUGGUCUGCAGUAGGUAUAGCAGCAGUACAGCUCUGGGGGUGCAGUGUGGAGGUGCUGGUGCUCCCUCUGCUGGUCUGCAGUAGGUAUAACAGCAGUACAGCUCUGGGGGUGCAGUGUGGAGGUGCUGGUGCUCCCUCUGCUGGUCAGGAGUAGGUAUAACAGCAGGUACAGCUCUGGGGGUGCAGUGUGGAGGUGCCGGUGCUCCCCCUGCUGGUCUGCAGUAGGUAUAACAGCAGGUACAGCUCUGAGGAUACAGUGUGGAGGUGCUGGUGCUCCCCCUGCUGGUGUGGAGUAGGUAUAACAGCAGGUACAGCUCUGAGGGUACAGUGUGGAGGUGCUGGUGCUCCCUCUGCUGGUCUGCAGUAGGUAUAACAGCAGUACAGCUCUGGGGGUGCAGUGUGGAGGUGCUGGUGCUCCCCCUGCUGGUCAGGAGUAGGUAUAACAGCAGUACAUCUCUGGGGGUGCAGUGUGGAGGUGCUGGUGCUCCCUCUGCUGGUCACGCUAGGUAUUUCAGGAGUCUUGAUGUCUGAAUGGAAACAGUCACAGAUAAUAAUCUUUUUCUAUAGCGCCACCAUAUUCCGCAGCGCUUUACAAUUUAGAGAGUUCUUGUACAAAACAAGACGUCACAGAGUUACCGGUUAAUAUACAACUGAAACACUAGGAGUGAGGACCCUGCUCACAAGAGCUUACAAUCUAUGAGGAAGUGGGGGGGGGGGGACGACGACACAAAAGGUAGUUGAUUGUGAAAUGACGUGUUCCAGCCAUCUUUGGACUGAACG